This 1231-nucleotide long non-coding RNA is filed under the name Oryctolagus cuniculus (rabbit). RNAcentral's name for it is "lncRNA (ENSOCUG00000036997.1)". Lineage: Eukaryota; Metazoa; Chordata; Mammalia; Lagomorpha; Leporidae. The record is from RNAcentral.
CAGCUGACUGUGCCAUUGCAGCUGGCCUUCCAUGCAAAUAGAAAUUUAAAAAUGAACAAGAAUAGCCAUACUCAUAUCAGCCAAAAUAUAAUUUGAGAAAAAACUGUUAAAAGAGACAAAAAUCAUUCUUACAAUGAUUAAAGGAUCAAUUAAACAAGAAGAUUGAGACUAUAGUAAAUGUAUAUACAACCAAUACUAGGGCACCCAGUUUUUUGUUUUUUGUUUUUUGUGGUGUUUUUUUGUUUUUUGUUUUUUGUUUUUUGUUUUUUUUUUUUUUUUUAACGAUAAAUGCUUUUUACUGCUUAGCCUCUGCAUAGGGAGACACAGUGCACACAAUACUACGUGGUGCUUCUCUUCAAUUGAUGCAACUCAGUAAUUUUUAUUGCAACUGGAAGACAAUACAUCACAGAAACUUUAUGGUAGGUCUGGGGGAAAGUGUUAUUUACAAUAAAUGAUGAAAUAGUUUGUCUUUGGCAAUAUGAUUACACAUGAAGAAUGCAAGAUGCAAGUAUGGAUGCCUCCGAAGCAGCGCCACCAAGUCCCUAGGUUCAGCUGAUGGCGUCUGUCUCCACACUGCUUCUUUAGGUUAACACAAACACAAAUGAACGUCACGUUCUUUCUCCUUUAUGGUUCUCCCUUUCUAUUCAUGAUAUUGGCAGUUUCAUACAGAAAAAAAAAUUGGCUUUUGAAAAAUUAUUACUCCUGUAAAUUAAUUUGGCCAUAUAGGUCUAUUGGCCAGGAAACGUCAGAUGACCCUGACGGUAAAACAAAAACAAAACUCAAGAAAUGUUACAGAAUCAGAGUAUAAAAAAUGUACAAGUGUAUAUGCUUCCCAGACACACAGAGACUGUUCUUCCUCCACAUGUUCACCAUGGCAGUGUAAGUAGUGAGUGUGAUGACACAGCAUGAAACUGGUUACUGCAUCAGCCAUGAGCUCAGAUGGUCUCAACGACACAUACUCCAGAAAUGCUGAAUGCUAAAUCACUGAAAGGGUGCUAAGGUUCAUCUAACGAGAGGCGGAAGGGGCUGGGGAGCUCAGGCCACAGUCAUGAGAGGAUGGAAUAGGGCUUCUAGGUUUGAUAGGUUCGCCAUAUCGAAGUCUUUGAGAAUCCAAUAUGGAGUAUCAAUUAUCUGCAAAAGGUGGAGAUGGCUGUUCCCCGCUUUUGCAAAUGAAAUACAGUGGAACCACACUGUUGUAUAGAUCCCAAAUAAAUAGAUUUCAAUGCUAACA